GAAGAAAACAAUACCACAACGAAGCUAAGAAUUAAAAUGUUACUACAACUACAUAUUACCUAGGUAAGUAAUUGUUAAAAUGGUAGAAAAAUUCAAUUCAGCGAAGAUGACAUUUAGUUGUCAAAAAAAGAGCUUUUAAAAAUGACAUUUUACAACACAAACAUGCAAGAAAAAGUAUAUGUUUUCUACAAUAAAGGAGGAAGAUUUUGUUAAGCUUUGUCAAUACUACACUAUUAAGAAAGAAAAACUUUUCCUCACUGAAUUUCACUUCUUUUCUAAUCAUCAUCUUUGCAAUGGCCAUCAUAGAUAGUUUUUUGUGUGCAACGAAAGGAAAGAGAGGCAACAUUACAUCGAUAAAGAGGAAACAUAUAUUUAAAUCAGAUUGCUUUGAGUUGGAAGUCCAACGAAAAGAGGAAGACUCAAGUUCCGGAGUGAUUGUUCGACUAUUUGAGG
This is a non-coding RNA of Solanum lycopersicum (tomato), 453 nucleotides long. NCBI's taxonomy places the organism in Eukaryota, Viridiplantae, Streptophyta, Magnoliopsida, Solanales, Solanaceae. The record is from RefSeq and is a predicted model, not a curated record.